This is a non-coding RNA of Pelobates cultripes (western spadefoot toad), 208 nucleotides long. The record is from the annotation of a GenBank genome assembly. Lineage: Eukaryota; Metazoa; Chordata; Amphibia; Anura; Pelobatidae.
GCUGAACUCUCCUGGAGGAAGUCUCGCACCCAGUCAGACUUUCUCCAUUAUAGAUUCAUAUUGUGUUCAUACAGUGCAGCCCUUGCCCUCGCCAAACAGUCAUACUUUUCUUCUCUCAUUAGUUCAUGCUCCCGCAAUCCCAGGCGCUCUUUGACACCUUUAAUUCUCUUCUUCGCCCUGCUGUGGCCACCCCCCAAACUAACCUUAC